GUGGGGAAUAUUGCACAAUGGGCGCAAGCCUGAUGCAGCAACGCCGCGUGAGGGAUGACGGCCUUCGGGUUGUAAACCUCUUUUAGUAGGGAAGAAGCGAAAGUGACGGUACCUGCAGAAAAAGCACCGGCUAACUACGUGCCAGCAGCCGCGGUAAUACGUAGGGUGCAAGCGUUGUCCGGAAUUAUUGGGCGUAAAGAGCUCGUAGUCGGCUUGUCGCGUCUGCUGUGAAAACCCGAGGCUCAACCUCGGGCCUGCAGUGGGUACGGGCAGGCUAGAGUGCGGUAGGGGAGAUUGGAAUUCCUGGUGUAGCGGUGGAAUGCGCAGAUAUCAGGAGGAACACCGAUGGCGAAGGCAGAUCUCUGGGCCGUAACUGACGCUGAGGAGCGAAAGCAUGGGGAGCGAACAGGAUUAGAUACCCUUGUAGUCC
This 430-nucleotide ribosomal RNA is filed under the name uncultured bacterium. Its description in RNAcentral is "partial 16S ribosomal RNA". It matches the Rfam family "Bacterial small subunit ribosomal RNA", at positions 354 to 796 of the family's 1533-position model. The record is from RNAcentral.